AGGAUGAACGCUAGACGACAGGCCUAACACAUGCAAGUCGAGGGGCAGCACAAGGAGCAAUCUGAGGUGGCGACCGGCGCACGGGUGAGUAACACGUAUGCAACCUGCCUGUAAGCGGGGAAUAACCCGUUGAAAGACGGACUAAUACCGCAUAAUACUAAAUUACUGCAUGGUAAUUUAUUUAAACAUUUAUGGCUUACAGAUGGGCAUACGCAUGAUUAGCUAGUUGGAGAGGUAACGGCUCCCCAAGGCAACGAUCAUUAGGGGCUCUGAGAGGAAGGUCCCCCACACUGGUACUGAGACACGGACCAGACUCCUACGGGAGGCAGCAGUGAGGAAUAUUGGUCAAUGGACGAGAGUCUGAACCAGCCAAGUCGCGUGCAGGAAGAAUGUCCUAUGGAUUGUAAACUGCUUUUGCAGGGGAAUAAAGUGCAUCACGUGUGAUGUUUUGUAUGUACUCUGCGAAUAAGGAUCGGCUAACUCCGUGCCAGCAGCUGC
RNAcentral lists this ribosomal RNA (498 nucleotides) under uncultured bacterium. Its description in RNAcentral is "bacterial SSU rRNA". It matches the Rfam family "Bacterial small subunit ribosomal RNA", at positions 26 to 518 of the family's 1533-position model. The record is from RNAcentral.